This 497-nucleotide ribosomal RNA is filed under the name uncultured bacterium. Its description in RNAcentral is "partial 16S ribosomal RNA". It matches the Rfam family "Bacterial small subunit ribosomal RNA", at positions 28 to 507 of the family's 1533-position model. The record is from RNAcentral.
GAUGAACGCUGGCGGCGUGCCUAAUACAUGCAAGUCGAGCGAACAGACGAGGAGCUUGCUCCUCUGACGUUAGCGGCGGACGGGUGAGUAACACGUGGAUAACCUACCUAUAAGACUGGGAUAACUUCGGGAAACCGGAGCUAAUACCGGAUAACAUGUUGAACCGCAUGGUUCAACAGUGAAAGACGGUCUUGCUGUCACUUAUAGAAGGAUCCGCGCCGCAUUAGCUAGUUGGUAAGGUAACGGCUUACCAAGGCAACGAUGCGUAGCCGACCUGAGAGGAGGAUCGGCCACACUGAAACUGAGACACGGUCCAGACUCCUGCGGGGGGCGGCAGUAGGGAUACUGCCGCAAUGGGCGAAGACCUGACGGAGAAACGCCGCGUGAGGGAGGAGGAUCUUCGGGUCGUAGACCUCUGUUAUUAGGGAAGAACAAAUGUGUAAGUAACUAGACGCGUCUGGACGGUGCCUGAGCAGAAAACCACGGCUAACUACGGG